UGGGGAUAUUGCACAAUGGGGGAAACCCUGAUGCAGCCAUGCCGCGUGUGUGAAGAAGGCCUUCGGGUUGUAAAGCACUUUCAGUAGGGAGGAAAGGGUGUAGUUUAAUACGCUAUAUCUGUGACGUUACCUACAGAAGAAGGACCGGCUAACUCCGUGCCAGCAGCCGCGGUAAUACGGAGGGUCCGAGCGUUAAUCGGAAUUACUGGGCGUAAAGCGUGCGCAGGCGGUUUGUUAAGCGAGAUGUGAAAGCCCUGGGCUCAACCUAGGAAUAGCAUUUCGAACUGGCGAACUAGAGUCUUGUAGAGGGGGGUAGAAUUCCAGGUGUAGCGGUGAAAUGCGUAGAGAUCUGGAGGAAUACCGGUGGCGAAGGCGGCCCCCUGGACAAAGACUGACGCUCAUGCACGAAAGCGUGGGGAGCAAACAGGAUUAGAUACCCUGGUAGUCCACGCCGUAAACGAUGUCUACUCGGAGUUUGGUGUCUUGAACACUGGGCUCUCAAGCUAACGCAUUAAGUAGACCGCCUGGGGAGUACGGCCGCAAGGUUAAAACUCAAAUGAAUUGACGGGGGCCCACACAAGA
RNAcentral lists this ribosomal RNA (582 nucleotides) under Shewanella sp. RNAcentral's name for it is "bacterial SSU rRNA". It matches the Rfam family "Bacterial small subunit ribosomal RNA", at positions 356 to 930 of the family's 1533-position model. Lineage: Bacteria; Pseudomonadati; Pseudomonadota; Gammaproteobacteria; Alteromonadales; Shewanellaceae. The record is from RNAcentral.